UCGGGAAUUUUGGGCAAUGGGCGAAAGCCUGACCCAGCAACGCCGCGUGAAGGAUGAAGUAUUUCGGUAUGUAAACUUCGAAAGAAUAGGAAGAAUAAAUGACGGUACUAUUUAUAAGGUCCGGCUAACUACGUGCCAGCAGCCGCGGUAAUACGUAGGGACCAAGCGUUGUUCGGAUUUACUGGGCGUAAAGGGCGCGUAGGCGGCAAUUCAAGUCAUCUGUGAAAUCUCCGGGCUUAACUCGGAACGGUCAGAUGAUACUGCUUUGCUAGAGUGCAGAAGGGGCAAUCGGAAUUCUUGGUGUAGCGGUGAAAUGCGUAGAUAUCAAGAGGAACACCUGAGGUGAAGACGGGUUGCUGGGCUGACACUGACGCUGAGGCGCGAAAGCCAGGGGAGCAAACGGGAUUAGAUACCCUGGUAGUCCCUGAGCGGGCUGGCAAGGCG
Molecule: ribosomal RNA, 444 nt
Filed under: uncultured bacterium
Lineage: Bacteria
Description: bacterial SSU rRNA
Rfam family: Bacterial small subunit ribosomal RNA
Source: RNAcentral